Myodes glareolus (Bank vole) is the source of this 4430-nucleotide non-coding RNA. The record is from RefSeq and is a predicted model, not a curated record. Lineage: Eukaryota; Metazoa; Chordata; Mammalia; Rodentia; Cricetidae.
AGACUGUCUCAAAACAAACAAAAACCUCCUUUAUUGUAUUGCCAACAAAUCUUUCACUUAAUGUCCCCCCUCACAUACUUUUUUUUCUUCUUUUUUUUGUUUCCAGGCCUUUAUUAAUCUGCUGUGUGCUCACCAUUUUCUCUUGGGAGUGGGUGACACCCAGUCACAGUAGCGGAGGGAGGGGGCGUCUUGGCCCAGGCUCUGGGGUGAUGAUGUAAUCGGCUCUGCAGGCUGGAGAGAACUAACUCUAUGGAUAAAUAUGCAAACCCAGGAGGUCUGCCUGGCUCAGGAGGUGGUCCUUGAGUACUACCUCCGGCCUUCUUUCACACUGCAGGAAUGGGGAACCACUUUUCUGAGCGUCCCCCUUCCCCAGGGAAUACAAGAGAGACUAGAGAGCUCCAGUGAGUCCCAAGGGUGAAGAUUCUUUUUGACCUUCCCUUAGUAAUCCUUGGCUAGGAGAUGUGCUUAAACAUACGGUGGAAUUUUCUGGAAUGUUGUAAGCUCUAGUCAGAAAGGAUGAAGGGCCUUCUGGCCAGAAUUUCUGUGCAGAAUUCUGGGACAGUGCCCUCUUGAAGUUCCCAAGAAGCCCUGGUCUGAAGCCUAAGUCUCACUGGCCUGUCUGCCUGCCCCUAGGAGUCACUGCAGUCUUCUGGUCCCAGGUCGCCGGUUCUCAUCAUCCUGGCUUGGCACUGGCUACCUAUCCCCGUGUUAUCCCACCACCCAGGGUGUUGUGUUUUGUUAGUUUUGAGUCAGGGUCUUGGCACCCAGUCCAGGCUGGCCUUGAACUGCAGGUCAUUUUUGCUCAGCCUCGCGAACGAUGGGGUUACAGAUAUGUGCCAACACACCUGGCACUGCCCAGGCUUUGGGGUUCUCUCUCCUCACCCUUGCUAUAUGCGUGGCUUUGAGGAAGAGCCUGUGCUCUCUGUCUUGGCUCUUCACAAGGGGCCCUGCUGAAGAACAGCCUAGCCCAUUUGACCUCUCGCUGACCUCCCUCCCCAGUGUGGAGUUUUCUCCAGGUGCUAGGUGAAGGUGGACACAGGUGUUUCUGGUAAGGGCUUGUGAAUUCAGAUCUGAGUGCCAGAGGGUUGGGUGUUGGGUCAGUCUCUGCACUUCCUGGCCGCUACUAGGGGGGCGGGUGGCUUAUCCUUUUGAGACCUCAAUUUCCUGCCAGUGCAGAGUUAUGCGAGAUGACGCAGGGGAAACAGACGCAUCAGUGUCCCCGACACGUAGAAGCUUAGGACAGGUGGACUGCUUUUGAUAUCAUAAUCACACUAGUUUGACCUACCCCAGGGGUUCCUGAGACCACAGGGGAACGUGGAAGCGGUAACCAGGGGGGGGGGGGCGUGCAAGGCCAACCUGGUGUUUUCCAGUUAUAUCUGGUCAAUUGAGACAGCUCGUCAGAGAAGCCUGGGAUGAAUUCAGAAUGGGGAAAUGAAUGACAGUUAAGUACCCAAGCCCGUGGGUGUGGGUGUGUGUACGUGUGCAUGUGCAUGUGUGUGUGCCUGGCCAGGCCCGGUCACGUUCCCCUGUCACCUCAUUCUGCUCUCUGUGAACCCCAUGGGUCCAUCUCUACUCAGAAGCACAGUGACUCCCCUGUUGGGCUCACUUCGUCUGGCCCCCUCCACCUGUCCAGUCAUGACGGCAUAGCAGCCGGCUACAGAUUGUCUCCGAACAGCUGGAGUGGCUGGGCAGAGCCAGACUGCAGGUGGACUCUGCCGCUGCAUAAUGGGGGGGAGCCGGCAGUCACAGGAGGUGUUGAUGUGGGUGGAAGAAGGGAUUGAAUGGAGUCCUUACAUCCCUAAACUCGAUAUACCUUUCUCUUGCUGCCCCAGAAGGGGGGGCUCAGUGAGCCAGGACAUAGAAGGACACUAAGAAACAUCCCUUUCGCCUUCCCUAUUUAUUCUUUUGAUAACUCGCUUCUCCCCCAGCUCCCUUUUCCCCUCUUCCUGUCAGGCUCCUCCUUCCCUGUUGGGUCUGCAGACUUCAGAUGCUGCGGGGAGACACUGACCCACCAGAGGGCAUACUGGGAAGGUAUUGUUGCGGGGUGAUGUGGGGGCUGCCCUGAGUUAGAAAGAACUGGGGAGUUAGAAAGAGCAAAAAGCAAGGAGCCCUGGGCACCCUGGGGAGAAGCCACCAAGGGCAGAGACUUGGAGCUGGUGGUGGCUGUGGCCAAAGGGUUCAUAAGCCAAGCCAGCUGCCGUAAUUUUAGCUCAGUCAAAAGCCAGUGAAGGGCGUUGUGAGUUAGUUUCAGUUAGUGUUAUACUCUGGGAGUAGCCCCGGCUGGCAUUUCAGAGUCAACUGUCUACCCUCACAGCUGGGGGCCAAAGGGUCAGGGCUGGAGGGUCAGAGGUCAUUUGUUGGUAGAAAGCGGGUUGCUGAAGGUCAAGAAGUGCGGUACAGCUCCUCUAUGCCAGACCAGCUCCGUGGAGCACCAGCCUGGCUGCGUCUUUCUGGAAUGAGUCCUCUGUGACUUUAGGGCUAGCUGUUGGUCAGGGUGACCUUGAGAAUUGCCACGACUGUUUUCCUGACCUUGACAGGAGUUUCUCCAUGCUCAGAGCCAUGGUAGGAUGCCUGCUUUGUGUUUUGUUCUAGAAGUUUGCCGUGGAUAAAUCUGGGGUUGAGACUUGAUUUCUGAUGAGAAUGAAACUUCUGGUCCUCAUAGGCCUGAGAACCGAACACGGUACAGGGUAGUGCUGAAGGGGCCAGAGAGACCCCAGAGAUGCCCAUCAAGUCAGCAGUGGAAGAGUACCCCAACUGGGGUCCCCCAGAGACUAGCUGCCCUGAGAAGGUUUUGAUUCCAUGUUGAGUUCCAAUGCUUCUGUCCAUGAGAUACAGACUGAUAAAUCACGUCUUCCUAAAAGUGGAAAGGAUGUUGUCAUGAGCACUCAUCAAAGUGAAUUGGGACCAUGCGAGGACAUGGACAUAUUCAUAGCAGGAAAACGAAGCCCAAGAACAGCACGCUCAGGACACCGGAGAAGACUGGACUCCAACGAAAUGCAGAUCACGAGGGAAUGAACCAGAAAUGGAGGAAGUCAGGCAACCUGUCCCCAUUCCAGAAAACCCAAAUGACCUUUGAUUGCCCCAUACUCGUGGAGCUAAGUCUCAACAAUCGAGGAGGUGGUGGUGCUGAGUCACAGAUAGGGCUUCACAGCGCUGAUCCCAAGGCCAGAGUGAGCAGAGCUGUCUGGGAAGCCGUGGAGAAAGCACCUCUUGAGUUUCCCAGGCAGCUCUGAUGUGGGGCAGCCUGGAGCGCUCGGGAGCCCUGUUGGUCAGCUGUGAGAAGGGCCUGAAGAGGGACACAUCUUCAUGAGGUCCUGGGGAGGAGACAGAACAGGGAAGUAGCUGUGGAGGAAAUUGGGGCCAGAUAGCCGAGGAAGCUCCAGUUUCUCAUGAGCAGAUGAUGGUACAGAAAGCAGAGGCAGGUUUAGAAGCUUGAGAAGAACAGACACUGGGAGUAAGACAUCUGGGUGGAAACCGAGGAAGCCGAGGGACUACGAGGGAUGUUAGGGGUCAGGUGAGGUAUCUGUGGCAUCCCAGCAUGUGGCUCAGGCAAGACAUAGUCCAGGACUUCCGACUUUCAGUGAUAGUAACCUGACUCCAAGUCGCUUAAGCAAAAGGGACUUGUUAGCCCAUAUCAUAGAAAUACCACCAACACUGUAUAGCCGCCCUGUCCUUUCACAAGAUGGAUGGAGGCAGGCUUCAGAAUGUCCUUGGGCAUUUAUCACCUCACCUCAACUCCCAUCUACCCUAGAUUCACAUACAAAAUCUCAGGGAGGGACUUUCACUGGUCUCUCUGUGUCAUCUGCCCCACCCUAGACCAAUGACCAGAUUCCAGGGUUAUUAUGACCUGGGUCAUAAUUCUCCUUCUAUGGAUAGCAGCCCCCAGGAACAGCUGGGAAGGAUACAUCCUUCGAAGGAGUCUACCAUCCUUCCCACCCCCAGACAAGGUUUCUCUAUGUAGCUCUGGCAUCCUGGAACUCCCUCUGUAGACCAGGCUGGCCUGAAAUGCAGAGAUCUGCCUGCCACUGGCUCCUGAGUACUGGGAUUAAAGGUGUGAGCCACCUCUGCUGUGAGUCUACCAUUCUUAACAACUCUGCUCGGGAGGUUCACUCGACACCUCGGAGGUUUGCCACUUAUGCCAAGGCUCCAGCUCGGAUAUAAGACCAGCUGCUCUGAUGCAGAGCCCAGGAGGAAGGAGGAAGGGGCGGUGCUGUGUGGGCAACUCCUUCAAGUUAUCUAGACACCUCUUUCUGGGGUGGGGAGGAGCCCUGGGCUAGCCAGUGGAGGGUGGACACAACACCUCUGGGGCUGGCCAGCUUUCCGAUUCCUUUUUGUGCUCAAGCACAAAUAAGCUGCUAGUCUGGGGGCAGCCGAGGUUACCCAUGGCUUUGAAAGUAUGGAGUGGCUGUCACUCAGAGGAUACAACUCAG